This 646-nucleotide ribosomal RNA is filed under the name bacterium HN1-5-47. Its description in RNAcentral is "bacterial SSU rRNA". It matches the Rfam family "Bacterial small subunit ribosomal RNA", at positions 338 to 974 of the family's 1533-position model. The record is from RNAcentral.
CCUACGGGAGGCAGCAGUAGGGAAUCUUCCGCAAUGGACGAAAGUCUGACGGAGCAACGCCGCGUGAGUGAUGAAGGUUUUCGGAUCGUAAAGCUCUGUUGUUAGGGAAGAACAAGUGCGAGAGUAACUGCUCGCACCUUGACGGUACCUAACCAGAAAGCCACGGCUAACUACGUGCCAGCAGCCGCGGUAAUACGUAGGUGGCAAGCGUUGUCCGGAAUUAUUGGGCGUAAAGGGCUCGCAGGCGGUUUCUUAAGUCUGAUGUGAAAGCCCCCCGGCUCAACCGGGGAGGGUCAUUGGAAACUGGGAAACUUGAGUGCAGAAGAGGAGAGUGGAAUUCCACGUGUAGCGGUGAAAUGCGUAGAGAUGUGGAGGAACACCAGUGGCGAAGGCGACUCUCUGGUCUGUAACUGACGCUGAGGAGCGAAAGCGUGGGGAGCGAACAGGAUUAGAUACCCUGGUAGUCCACGCCGUAAACGAUGAGUGCUAAGUGUUAGGGGGUUUCCGCCCCUUAGUGCUGCAGCUAACGCAUUAAGCACUCCGCCUGGGGAGUACGGUCGCAAGACUGAAACUCAAAGGAAUUGACGGGGGCCCGCACAAGCGGUGGAGCAUGUGGUUUAAUUCGAAGCAACGCGAAGAACCUUAC